This 66-nucleotide transfer RNA is filed under the name Staphylinidae sp. BMNH 1274705. RNAcentral's name for it is "tRNA-Ala". It matches the Rfam family "tRNA". Rfam says of the family: Transfer RNA (tRNA) molecules are approximately 80 nucleotides in length. Their secondary structure includes four short double-helical elements and three loops (D, anti-codon, and T loops). Lineage: Eukaryota; Metazoa; Arthropoda; Insecta; Coleoptera; Staphylinidae. The record is from RNAcentral.
AGGGUUAUAGUUAACUAUAACAUUUAAUUUGCAAUUAAAAAGUAUUGAUAAACUCAAUUUACCUUA